Molecule: non-coding RNA, 239 nt
Filed under: Liquorilactobacillus vini
Lineage: Bacteria; Bacillati; Bacillota; Bacilli; Lactobacillales; Lactobacillaceae
Description: Lactobacillus vini T-box sequence
Rfam family: T-box leader
About the family: Uncharged tRNA acts as the effector for transcription antitermination of genes in the T-box leader family.
Source: RNAcentral
AUUAUUGCAUUGAAGAAAUGAGUAAGUUGAUUCGCCUGGCCAGAGAGUUGCUAUAUGCUGAGAAGCAAUCAGUUUGAAUCAGCUGAAGAUGGUUUUGGAGCAAUGAAUUGUUGAAUUAAUUUCAACAGUUCUGGGAGUGCCCAUUAUAGCAUGAGGUAUCUGAACGGGUACCUAUUGAGGAAAUUUGAUGUGAGUCAAAUUUCAAAUUUUAGGUGGUAAAGCGGAUUUUCGCCCUGAUU